GUAGGGAAUCUUCCACAAUGGGUGAAAACUCUGAUGGAGCAAUACCGCGUGAGUGAAGAAGGUCUUCGGAUCGUAAAGCUCUGUUGUUAGAGAAGAAUAAGUCGGGUAGUAACUGCCCCGGCCUUGACGGUAUCUAACCAGAAAGUCACGGCUAACUACGUGCCAGCAGCCGCGGUAAUACGUAGGUGACAAGCGUUAGUCCGGAUUUAUUGGGCGUAAAGCGAGCGCAGGCGGUCUUUUAAGUCUGAUGUGAAAGCCCACGGCUCAACCGUGGAGGGUCAUUGGAAACUGGAAGACUUGAAUGCAGAA
This 309-nucleotide ribosomal RNA is filed under the name uncultured Marinilactibacillus sp. RNAcentral's name for it is "bacterial SSU rRNA". It matches the Rfam family "Bacterial small subunit ribosomal RNA", at positions 354 to 653 of the family's 1533-position model. The record is from RNAcentral. Lineage: Bacteria; Bacillati; Bacillota; Bacilli; Lactobacillales; Carnobacteriaceae.